RNAcentral lists this ribosomal RNA (780 nucleotides) under uncultured bacterium. RNAcentral describes it as "bacterial SSU rRNA". It matches the Rfam family "Bacterial small subunit ribosomal RNA", at positions 8 to 785 of the family's 1533-position model. The record is from RNAcentral.
AGAGUUUGAUCCUGGCUCAGAUUGAACGCUGGCGGCAUGCCUUACACAUGCAAGUCGAACGGUAACAGGUCUUCGGAUGCUGACGAGUGGCGAACGGGUGAGUAAUACAUCGGAACGUGCCCGAUCGUGGGGGAUAACGGAGCGAAAGCUUUGCUAAUACCGCAUACGAUCUACGGAUGAAAGCGGGGGAUCUUCGGACCUCGCGCGGACGGAGCGGCCGAUGGCAGAUUAGGUAGUUGGUGGGAUAAAAGCUUACCAAGCCGACGAUCUGUAGCUGGUCUGAGAGGAUGAUCAGCCACACUGGGACUGAGACACGGCCCAGACUCCUACGGGAGGCAGCAGUGGGGAAUUUUGGACAAUGGGGGCAACCCUGAUCCAGCCAUGCCGCGUGCAGGAUGAAGGCCUUCGGGUUGUAAACUGCUUUUGUACGGAACGAAAAGACUCUGGUUAAUACCUGGGGUCCAUGACGGUACCGUAAGAAUAAGCACCGGCUAACUACGUGCCAGCAGCCGCGGUAAUACGUAGGGUGCAAGCGUUAAUCGGAAUUACUGGGCGUAAAGCGUGCGCAGGCGGUGAUGUAAGACAGAGGUGAAAUCCCCGGGCUCAACCUGGGAACUGCCUUUGUGACUGCAUCGCUGGAGUGCGGCAGAGGGGGAUGGAAUUCCGCGUGUAGCAGUGAAAUGCGUAGAUAUGCGGAGGAACACCGAUGGCGAAGGCAAUCCCCUGGGCCUGCACUGACGCUCAUGCACGAAAGCGUGGGGAGCAAACAGGAUUAGAUAC